This 503-nucleotide ribosomal RNA is filed under the name uncultured bacterium. Its description in RNAcentral is "partial 16S ribosomal RNA". It matches the Rfam family "Bacterial small subunit ribosomal RNA", at positions 28 to 523 of the family's 1533-position model. The record is from RNAcentral.
GACGAACGCUGGCGGCAGGCUUAACACAUGCAAGUCGAGCGGGGUGAUGGUGCGUGCACUAUCACUUAGCGGCGGACGGGUGAGUAAUGCUUAGGAAUCUGCCUAUUAGUGGGGGACAACAUCUCGAAAGGGAUGCUAAUACCGCAUACGUCCUACGGGAGAAAGCAGGGGAUCACUUGUGACCUUGCGCUGAUAGAUGAGCCUAAGUCGGAUUAGCUAGUUGGUGGGGUAAAGGCCUACCAAGGCGACGAUCUGUAGCGGGUCUGAGAGGAUGAUCCGCCACACUGGGACUGAGACACGGCCCAGACUCCUACGGGAGGCAGCAGUGGGGAAUAUUGGACAAUGGGGGGAACCCUGAUCCAGCCAUGCCGCGUGUGUGAAGAAGGCCUUAUGGUUGUAAAGCACUUUAAGCGAGGAGGAGGCUCUUUUGGUUAAUACCCAAGAUGAGUGGACGUUACUCGCAGAAUAAGCACCGGCUAACUCUGUGCCAGCCGCCGCCGUAA